RNAcentral lists this ribosomal RNA (253 nucleotides) under uncultured bacterium. RNAcentral describes it as "partial 16S ribosomal RNA". It matches the Rfam family "Bacterial small subunit ribosomal RNA", at positions 524 to 776 of the family's 1533-position model. The record is from RNAcentral.
UACGGGGGGGGCAAGCGUUGUUCGGAAUUACUGGGCGUAAAGGGCUCGUAGGCGGCCAACUAAGUCGGAUGUGAAAUCCCCAGGCUUAACCUGGGAACUGCAUCCGAUACUGGAUGGCUUGAAUCCGGGAGAGGGAUGCAGAAUUCCAGGUGUAGCGGUGAAAUGCGUAGAUAUUCGCAAGAACACCAGUGGCGAAGGCGGCUCACUGGCCCGGUACUGACGCUGAGGUGCGAAAGCGUGGGGAGCAAACAGG